AGCAUUCACUCAGGAUGUGGGCAACUCUGCCUGAGAGGAACAAGGACUUGGACUUGGGUCUCCUCACCCCCAAGAAUCUCCUUGUCCACCUCCCCAAAAUGCUAUUCCAAGGAGUCCAUAGCAUUGCUCUGAAUGAACACAACCAUUGUACCUUCUAAAAGAAGAUGCUUUCAAGGCACUCCUUCUGCUCAUAUGUAACUUCUUAGGUGCAGCUGUAUCUAUCACCAGUGAAAAAUUUAAGCGGAGGUGAAAAUGAUGGAGAGUGCCCAGGAGGAUGGCUCAGCAACAAUAGACAGAUGUUCCAUUUGUGAGAGUCCCAGUGCUCACGGGUGGAUUAAGACUUCCACCUGAGCUGUUAUUUGAUUACCCCAAAACAAGAAA
Long non-coding RNA from Mauremys reevesii (Reeves's turtle), 381 nucleotides. RefSeq lists it as uncharacterized. The transcript is spliced from 3 exons. NCBI's taxonomy places the organism in Eukaryota, Metazoa, Chordata, Testudines, Geoemydidae. The record is from RefSeq and is a predicted model, not a curated record.